RNAcentral lists this ribosomal RNA (459 nucleotides) under uncultured bacterium. RNAcentral's name for it is "partial 16S ribosomal RNA". It matches the Rfam family "Bacterial small subunit ribosomal RNA", at positions 338 to 795 of the family's 1533-position model. The record is from RNAcentral.
CCUACGGGAGGCUGCAGUGAGGAAUAUUGGUCAAUGGGCGGAAGCCUGAACCAGCCAAGCCGCGUGAGGGAAGAAGGUACAGCGUAUCGUAAACCUCUUUUGUCAGGGAACAAAGGCGGGGACUAGUCCCCGGAUGAGGGUACCUGAAGCAAAAGCAUCGGCUAACUCCGUGCCAGCAGCCGCGGUAAUACGGGGGAUGCGAGCGUUAUCCGGAUUUAUUGGGUUUAAAGGGGGCGAAGCGGGCCUGUUAAGUCAGCGGGAAAAGCCCGGGGCGCAACCCCGGCGAGCCGUGGAAACGGGCGGGCUUGAGUUGGAGAGAAGUACGCGGAAUGCGCGGUGUAGCGGUGAAAUGCUUAGAUAUCGCGCAGAACCCCGAUUGCGAAGGCAGCGUACCGGCUCCACACUGACGCUGAGGCACGAAAGCGUGGGUAUCGAACAGGAUUAGAUACCCUAGUAGUC